GACGAACGCUGGCGGCGUGCUUAACACAUGCAAGUCGAACGGAAAGGCACUGCUUUUGUGGGGUGCUCGAGUGGCGAACGGGUGAGUAACACGUGAGUAACCUGCCCUUGACUUUGGGGUAACUUCAGGAAACUGGGGCUAAUACCGGAUAGGAGCCCCUGCUGCAUGGUGGGGGUUGGAAAGUUUCGGCGGUCGGGGAUGGACUCGCGGCUUAUCAGCUUGUUGGUGGGGUAGUGGCUUACCAAGGCUUUGACGGGUAGCCGGCCUGAGAGGGUGACCGGCGACAAUGGGACUGAGGUAGGGACCAGUCUGCAACAGGAGGCAGCAGUGGCAAAUAUUGCCCAGUGAUAGGAAGCCUGUUACAACAACGCCGCGUGCGGGAUGACGGCCUUCGGGUUGUAAACCGCUUUCGCCUGAGACGAAGCGUGAGUGACGGUAAUGGGUAAAGAAGCACCGGCUAACUACGUG
RNAcentral lists this ribosomal RNA (468 nucleotides) under uncultured bacterium. RNAcentral's name for it is "partial 16S ribosomal RNA". It matches the Rfam family "Bacterial small subunit ribosomal RNA", at positions 28 to 507 of the family's 1533-position model. The record is from RNAcentral.